Molecule: ribosomal RNA, 546 nt
Filed under: Yersinia nurmii
Lineage: Bacteria; Pseudomonadati; Pseudomonadota; Gammaproteobacteria; Enterobacterales; Yersiniaceae
Description: bacterial SSU rRNA
Rfam family: Bacterial small subunit ribosomal RNA
Source: RNAcentral
CAUGCAGUCGAGCGGCAGCGGAAAGUAGCUUGCUACUUUGCCGGCGAGCGGCGGACGGGUGAGUAAUGUCUGGGAAACUGCCUGAUGGAGGGGGAUAACUACUGGAAACGGUGGCUAAUACCGCAUAACGUCGCAAGACCAAAGUGGGGGACCUUCGGGCCUCACGCCAUCGGAUGUGCCCAGAUGGGAUUAGCUAGUAGGUGGGGUAAUGGCUCACCUAGGCGACGAUCCCUAGCUGGUCUGAGAGGAUGACCAGCCACACUGGAACUGAGACACGGUCCAGACUCCUACGGGAGGCAGCAGUGGGGAAUAUUGCACAAUGGGCGCAAGCCUGAUGCAGCCAUGCCGCGUGUGUGAAGAAGGCCUUCGGGUUGUAAAGCACUUUCAGCGAGGAGGAAGGCAUCACACUUAAUACGUGUGGUGAUUGACGUUACUCGCAGAAGAAGCACCGGCUAACUCCGUGCCAGCAGCCGCGGUAAUACGGAGGGUGCAAGCGUUAAUCGGAAUUACUGGGCGUAAAGCGCACGCAGGCGGUUUGUUAAGUCA